This 654-nucleotide ribosomal RNA is filed under the name uncultured soil bacterium. Its description in RNAcentral is "bacterial SSU rRNA". It matches the Rfam family "Bacterial small subunit ribosomal RNA", at positions 37 to 735 of the family's 1533-position model. The record is from RNAcentral.
UGGCGGCAGGCCUAACACAUGCAAGUCGAGCGCUCGUGGCAGUACGAGAGCGGCAGACGGGAGAGUAACACGUGGGAACGCGCCCUUCGGUUCGGAAUAACUCAGGGAAACUUGAGCUAAUACCGGAUACGCCCUUACGGGGAAAGAUUCAUCGCCGAAGGAACGGCCCGCGUCGGAUUAGCUAGUUGGUGAGGUAAUGGCUCACCAAGGCGACGAUCCGUAGCUGGUCUGAGAGGAUGACCAGCCUCACUGGGACUGAGACACGGCCCAGACUCCUACGGGAGGCAGCAGUGGGGAAUAUUGGACAAUGGGCGCAAGCCUGAUCCAGCCAUGCCGCGUGGAUGAUGAAGGCCUUAGGGUUGUAAAGUCCUUUUAACGGGGAAGAUAAUGACGGUACCCGUAGAAUAAGCCCCGGCUAACUUCGUGCCAGCAGCCGCGGUAAUACGAAGGGGGCUAGCGUUGCUCGGAAUUACUGGGCGUAAAGCGCACGUAGGCGGCUCUUUAAGUCGGGGGUGAAAUCCUGGAGCUCAACUCCAGAACUGCCUUCGAUACUGGAGAGCUCGAGUCCGGGAGAGGUGAGUGGAACUGCGAGUGUAGAGGUGAAAUUCGUAGAUAUUCGCAAGAACACCAGUGGCGAAGGCGACUCACUGGCCC